This 3142-nucleotide long non-coding RNA is filed under the name Canis lupus familiaris (dog). RNAcentral describes it as "lncRNA (ENSCAFG00030006439.1, ENSCAFG00040002965.1)". The record is from RNAcentral. Lineage: Eukaryota; Metazoa; Chordata; Mammalia; Carnivora; Canidae.
CAAUGGUCCAAACUCCUUGUUAAGUAACAGCCCUAAUUGAUGACAGGGAUGGUGCAGUGGCUUGGAAGCCAGCUCAGAUUGUGUUUUUAAAAUUUUCCUUUCUCCCGGGCUGCCUGCCAGAGCUCCAUGGCACGGUUCUUGAGGAGAACAAAGGAGGCUUUGAAAAUCUUUCUCCCCCUCCUUCAAAUGCUUAUCUGAAAGGACAUCUUUUUCCCCUUAGUCGCUGCAAUCAUAAAAGCACAGGUGAUAAACUGCUUCUUUGUAAUCAUCAAUUGUGAAGGUUUCCUCCCCCCAAAAGCAGGAAUCUUGGCGGCAGCAAGGUAGAGAGGACCAUCUUGGCGCCCACACUGAUGUCUAUCGAGCCUCCAGAAAGGAAAGGGAGGGGGAAAUGAACUUUGUUCAGUGACAACUUUUAUCUCCGGGUCUCGGGCUGCUGAAAUGUCAAGCCGGGGCUAGAUGGGCUCUCCUGACAGCGUUGCUGCACGGAGGCUGCCUCCCAGCCCCAGGGGAUGCAGGGCUGCGGUGGGUGGUGGUGGUGGUGGGGGGUGUUGACUAUAAGUCAACCGAAUACAUCUUGAAUUCUCGAAGCUGGAGUUCGGGACUUGUUGCGUCUCUUCUGGAGAGGAAGGCUGCAGAGUGGAGCCAUCGGAUCUCCUGCUUGCAAUGACCUUGAGAAACUGUCCCCGAAAGGACAGUGCCUAAGCCCAUUUGAGGGGAGAAUCUGUCUGGUUUUUCAACUCCCCAGAAAAUACUAUGGUGGUGAUAUCACAACCUGGUGGAACCUACAGUGGCCUGGGUCCCUGAAUGAUGGUAUGGAGCAGAGUCCCAGGCCCUACAGCAUUGAGUAUGGAGAUGAAUGAGAAAUAAAUUGGUUGUUUUAAGUGACUGAGAUUUUGGAAUUCAUGGUAGUUGCAACACAGUCUAAUUGAUCUCGAUGAGUGUUGCCAAAAUCAAAGGAGUGGAUGAGUUCUUUAAAUUUUAGCAGAAGGCCAAAGUUAGCAAACUAGGAAUUGGAGCCUGGAUGGGUCACUGGAUCUUUGUACAUGUGGCUGGAUCCAAGAAAAGGCCAAUUACAAAUGCUCAUACAUAGAACUAGGGAUGGGUGAGGCAAGAACAGCGCCAGUAAUGUCAGGGUAGGGGCGUCUGGGUGGCUCAGUGAGUUAAGCAUCUGCCUUGGGCUCAAGUCCUGAUCUUGGGGUCCUAGAAUUGAGCCCUACAUUGGACUCCCUGAUCAGUGGGGAGUCUGCUUCUUCCUCUCCUUCUGCUCCUCCCCCCAGCCCUUUCUCUCUCUCUCAAAUCAAUAAAUAAAAUCUUUUUAAAAAAUAGUGCAGGUUCAGUUGAUGGGACCUGAGAAUGUACCUGGGGCAGAUGCCAGUGCCACUUCUCACAUUUUGCUGCAAUACAAGUUAUAGAGGGCAGAUAGAUCUUUUUUUUUUUAAUUUUCUCAAAGAUUUUAUUUAUUCAUGAGAGACACACACACACACAGAGGCACAGACACAGGCAGAGGGAGAAGCAGGCUCCAUGCAGGGAGCCCAACGUGGGACUCGAUCCUGGGUCUCCAUAAUCACACCCUGGGCUGAAGGCAGUGCUAAACCGCUGAGCCACCUGGGCUGCCCUAGGGCAGAUCUUUGAACCAGAGAUCAAUUCCAGAACCUUCCCCAGACCUCAUGGACUGAAUUGUGUCCUCUCCUUUCCCCAAAUUCAUAUGUUGAAGUCCUAACCCCCAAUGUGACUGUAUUUGGAGAUAGGACCUUUAGGGAAUUAAUGUUAAAUGACAUCAUAAGGGUGGAGCCCUAAUCCAGUAAGACAGAUGUCCUUAGAAGAAGGGGAAGAGAGAUCAGAAAUCUCUUUCUGGGUGCAUACAGAGAAAAGCUGUGUGAGGAUGCAGUGAGAAGGGCAGCCAUCUGAAAGCCAGGAAGAGAGAUCUCCCCAGAAACCAACGCUUGUGGCACCUUGAUCUUGGGCUUCCAGCAUCCAGAAUGGUAAGAAAACAAAUUUCUGUUUCUUAACCACCCAGGCUGUGGUAUUUUGUAAGGUGGCCUGAGCUAUUACAGACCUGGACCUAGGACUUGUUACCUGAUGCCUUCUUCUCCGGGGGUUUCCUGGGGGGGAACUUUCUGUUUAGAGUCAGAUAUUUUGAGGUGGAGAGGAAAGAGAGGAGAGGGGAAUGAUGCAUGUAUGAACACCUCCUUGCCCUUCUAACAACAUGCUUUUUUCCAUGUAUUAUACUGGACUUCAAUUGUAGCCCUGGAAAAUAGGGAUAAUUAUCCUAGGUUUACUGAUUUUAUUCAUUUGCUCAGCAACAAUUUCGAAGCAUCUACUAUGUGUUGGGGUAUGAUGCUGAGUUUGGGGGUGCAGAGUUGAAGAGGCAACAGCUCCUGCUUUCAAGUGGCUGCAUGAAUUGAGGCCUCCAGGAUAAGCUCCAAGUUCAGUGAGAAGAGGCUAGUGAGGACUCGGUCCUGGAUUUUAGCUUUGUACCUGGGCUCUUGGAAAAGAGAAGCAAAGCAGAGAAUUCUCUGUAAGAGAUGCUGGUGGAGCCUUGCAUCCCAGGAAAGCCUGUCUCUUCUUUGUCCCCAGGAAGCUGAGGGUCAGCAUCACGCUUAGGCAGCUUGUCCAGUUAUAGGUGACCUGCAUCCCAGCCAGUCCCCACCUUCUUCGUUGCUGGCAGAACCUUUACUUUGUCUAGAUCUCUUGCACCCACGCACUUCAGGGAAAGCUGGCUUCUCCCAGUCCCGAGGGUGAAUCCUGUAGGCAGCCAGGCAAUCAACACACUUGAUCUAUUCUUCUUGCAAUUCUAACUAGUGAAAUAUGAUAGAGCCUGCAGGGAUUCUUGGAUUUCUCACCCUAAAAUGAACACAAAAGGGGGACAUUCUGGUUUUCUUGAGAGGUAUUACUGUGUGAGUGCAUGAUGCUGGGAGCUGCUGCAGCCACUUUAUGACCAUGAGGAGACAGGCCAAAGAACAAUUGCUAACAGUCUAAGCACGGCGGAGCAGAGGGAGGGAAAGAACUGGUUCUUAAUCUUGAUCAACUGAAAUAACGGGGCUUCUUGUUAGAUCAGAUAAUAAAAAUCAUCUCACUGUUUAAGCUCUCUUGGGUUGGGCAUCCUAUUACUUGCAGCCAACAGCUGCCCAACAUAUAUAGG